GAUGAACGCUGGCGGCGUGCUUAACACAUGCAAGUCGAGCGAGUGAGUUCUUCGGAACGAUCUAGCGGCGGACGGGUGAGUAACACGUGGGCAACCUGCCUCAUAGAGGGGAAUAGCCUCCCGAAAGGGAGAUUAAUACCGCAUAAAAUUAUCGAGUGGCAUCACAUGAUAAUCAAAGGAGUAAUCCGCUAUGAGAUGGGCCCGCGGCGCAUUGGCUAGUUGGUGAGGUAACGGCUCACCAAGGCGACGAUGCGUAGCCGACCUGAGAGGAUGAUCGGCCACAUUGGGGCUGAGGCACGGCCCAGACUCCUACGGGAGGCAGCAGUGGGGAAUAUUGCACAAUGGGGGAAACCCUGAUGCAGCAACGCCGCGUGAGUGAUGAAGGUCUUCGGAUUGUAAAGCUCUGUCUUUGGGGACGAUAAUGACGGUACCCAAGGAGGAAGCCACGGCUAACUACGUGCCAGCCGCCGCAGUAA
Molecule: ribosomal RNA, 476 nt
Filed under: uncultured bacterium
Lineage: Bacteria
Description: partial 16S ribosomal RNA
Rfam family: Bacterial small subunit ribosomal RNA
Source: RNAcentral